RNAcentral lists this transfer RNA (89 nucleotides) under Candidatus Yanofskyibacteriota bacterium. RNAcentral's name for it is "tRNA-Ser". It matches the Rfam family "tRNA". Rfam says of the family: Transfer RNA (tRNA) molecules are approximately 80 nucleotides in length. Their secondary structure includes four short double-helical elements and three loops (D, anti-codon, and T loops). Further hydrogen bonds mediate the characteristic L-shaped molecular structure. tRNAs have two regions of fundamental functional importance: the anti-codon, which is responsible for specific mRNA codon recognition, and the 3' end, to which the tRNAs corresponding amino acid is attached (by aminoacyl-tRNA synthetases). tRNAs cope with the degeneracy of the genetic code in two manners: having more than one tRNA (with a specific anti-codon) for a particular amino acid; and 'wobble' base-pairing, i.e. permitting non-standard base-pairing at the 3rd anti-codon position. The record is from RNAcentral. Lineage: Bacteria; Candidatus Yanofskyibacteriota.
GGAGGGGUCGGAUAGCGGUUCAUUCCACCGCCUUGGAAAGGCGGCGCCCUGCAAGGGGCUCGUGAGUUCGAAUCUCACCCCCUCCGCCA